CAGUCGCCGCGGUAAUACGGAGGGUGCAAGCGUUAAUCGGAAUUACUGGGCGUAAAGCGUGCGCAGGCGGUUCGUUAAGACAGAUGUGAAAUCCCCGGGCUUAACCUGGGAACUGCAUUUGUGACUGGCGAGCUAGAGUAUGGCAGAGGGGGGUAGAAUUCCACGUGUAGCAGUGAAAUGCGUAGAGAUGUGGAGGAAUACCGAUGGCGAAGGCAGCCCCCUGGGCCAAUACUGACGCUCAUGCACGAAAGCGUGGGGAGCAAACAGGAUUAGAGACCCGUGUAGUCCCUGUCUCUUAUAC
This 301-nucleotide ribosomal RNA is filed under the name uncultured bacterium. RNAcentral's name for it is "partial 16S ribosomal RNA". It matches the Rfam family "Bacterial small subunit ribosomal RNA", at positions 509 to 807 of the family's 1533-position model. The record is from RNAcentral.